Molecule: non-coding RNA, 162 nt
Filed under: Trichomonas vaginalis G3
Lineage: Eukaryota; Parabasalia; Trichomonadida; Trichomonadidae
Description: Eukaryotic small subunit ribosomal RNA
Rfam family: Eukaryotic small subunit ribosomal RNA
Source: Rfam by way of RNAcentral
UACUUGGUUGAUCCUGCCAAGGAAGCACACUUAGGUCAUAGAUUAAGCCAUGCAAGUGUUAGUUCAGGUAACGAAACUGCGAAUAGCUCAUUAAUACGCUCAGAAUCUAUUUGGGCGGCGACCAACAGGUCUUAAAUGGAUAGCAGCAGCAACUCUGGUGCU